UACGUAGGGUGCGAGCGUUGUCCGGAAUUACUGGGCGUAAAGAGCUCGUAGGUGGUUUGUCGCGUCGUCUGUGAAAUUCCGGGGCUUAACUCCGGGCGUGCAGACGAUACGGGCAUAGCUUGAGUACUGUAGGGGAGACUGGAAUUCCUGGUGUAGCGGUGAAAUGCGUAGAUAUCAGGAGGAACACCGGUGGCGAAGGCGACUGUCUGGGCAUAAACUGACGCUGAGGUACGAAAGCGUGGGUAGCAAACGGG
This 254-nucleotide ribosomal RNA is filed under the name uncultured bacterium. RNAcentral describes it as "partial 16S ribosomal RNA". It matches the Rfam family "Bacterial small subunit ribosomal RNA", at positions 524 to 776 of the family's 1533-position model. The record is from RNAcentral.